AGCUCAUAUCCAUAUAGCUCAGUUGGUAGAGCAUUGGGCUUUUAACCUAAUGGUCGCAGGUUCAAGUCCUGCUAUACCCA
Molecule: non-coding RNA, 80 nt
Organism: Triticum dicoccoides
Lineage: Eukaryota; Viridiplantae; Streptophyta; Magnoliopsida; Poales; Poaceae
Source: the annotation of a RefSeq genome assembly